AACUUUUGGCAAUGGAUCUCUUGGCUCUCCCAUCGAUGAAGAACGCAGCGACAUGCGAUAAGUAAUGUGAAUUGCAGAAUUCAGUGAAUCAUCGAAUCUUUGAACGCACCUUGCGCCCUUUGGUAUUCCGAAGGGCAUGCCUGUUUGAGGGUUAUUAAAGUCUCAACCUUUUGAACGCUUGCGGUCACUAGGCUUGGAUGUGAGGGUUUUGCUGGCUUCCUUCAGUGGCGGUCUGCUCCCUUUAAAUGUAUUAGUGGGAUCCUUUCUGGAUCGGUCACUUGGUGUGAUAAUAUAUCUACGCCGCUUGUACCGCGAAGCAAAACUUAUGGGAACCUGCCUACAACCGUCUAGCAAUAGACAACUUUUGAACCUUUAACCUCAAAUCAGGUAGGACUACCCGCUGAACUUAAGCAUAUCAAUAAGCGGAGGCU
RNAcentral lists this unclassified non-coding RNA (431 nucleotides) under uncultured Hemimycena. RNAcentral describes it as "sequence contains ITS2". The stretch from base 1 to 154 matches the Rfam family "5.8S ribosomal RNA". Lineage: Eukaryota; Fungi; Basidiomycota; Agaricomycetes; Agaricales; Tricholomataceae. The record is from RNAcentral.